This 212-nucleotide small nucleolar RNA is filed under the name Dermacentor andersoni. Its description in RNAcentral is "small nucleolar RNA U3". It matches the Rfam family "Small nucleolar RNA U3". From Rfam's summary of the family: Small nucleolar RNAs (snoRNAs) are involved in the processing and modification of rRNA in the nucleolus. There are two main classes of snoRNAs: the box C/D class, and the box H/ACA class. U3 snoRNA is a member of the box C/D class. Lineage: Eukaryota; Metazoa; Arthropoda; Arachnida; Ixodida; Ixodidae. The record is from RNAcentral.
AAGAUCGUGCUUCAUAGGAUCAUUUCUAUAGUACGAUCGCCGAGACGCAUCCGCGAUCUCGGAACACACUCGACCACGAUGAUGAGUUGAGGGUCUCCGCCUGAGCGUGAAGCCGGUAUGGGCUCCUGGGUUUCGACCCGGGUUCCUGCCAUUGAUGAACGUUCCUUCGGCCCUUGUGGCUGACGGGAGGGCGGAGACUCGGUCUGAGUGGU